This 333-nucleotide unclassified non-coding RNA is filed under the name soil metagenome. RNAcentral describes it as "partial contains 5.8S ribosomal RNA, internal transcribed spacer 2, and large subunit ribosomal RNA". The stretch from base 1 to 120 matches the Rfam family "5.8S ribosomal RNA", at positions 35 to 154 of the family's 154-position model. The record is from RNAcentral.
GAUGAAGAACGCAGCAAAAUGCGAUAAGUAAUGUGAAUUGCAGAAUUCAGUGAAUCAUCGAAUCUUUGAACGCACAUUGCGCCCGCCAGUAUUCUGGCGGGCAUGCCUGUUCGAGCGUCAUUUCAACCCUCAAGCUCAGCUUGGUGUUGGGACUCGCGGUAACCCGCGUUCCCCAAAUCGAUUGGCGGUCACGUCGAGCUUCCAUAGCGUAGUAAUCAUACACCUCGUUACUGGUAAUCGUCGCGGCCACGCCGUAAAACCCCAACUUCUGAAUGUUGACCUCGGAUCAGGUAGGAAUACCCGCUGAACUUAAGCAUACAAUAAGCGGAGGAA